This is a regulatory RNA element of Xanthomonas albilineans GPE PC73, 108 nucleotides long. It matches the Rfam family "Glycine riboswitch aptamer". From Rfam's summary of the family: This family represents the bacterial glycine riboswitch. Glycine riboswitches usually consist of two metabolite-binding aptamers domains with similar structures in tandem. Lineage: Bacteria; Pseudomonadati; Pseudomonadota; Gammaproteobacteria; Lysobacterales; Lysobacteraceae. The record is from Rfam.
CACCAAGACUCUGGAGAGACCGGUCAAACCCGGCGCCGAAGGGGCACGAAGCGCAGCGCGAUCCACGGCGGCUUCCAAACUCUCAGGCAAAAGGACAGAGGGGCACAU